Molecule: long non-coding RNA, 18255 nt
Filed under: Populus trichocarpa (black cottonwood)
Lineage: Eukaryota; Viridiplantae; Streptophyta; Magnoliopsida; Malpighiales; Salicaceae
Description: long non-coding RNA (PTRI_LNC002264)
Source: RNAcentral
GAGUACUGAGCUUGAGUGCAUUCUUCUAAGUAAAAGAAAUCCCUUAAUUUCAUCACACUUUCCUUCUUUUCCAACAGAAAAUGUCUUGCUGUGGAGGAAACUGUGGCUGCGGCUCUGGAUGCAAGUGCGGCAGUGGCUGCAAUGGGUGAUUCUUUCUUUCUUCGAAAAAAUCAAUUUGCUAUUAUUUUCUUUCAUUAAUUACUUCUUUGUAGUGCUGAUAAGAUUUCAAAUGAAUCUGACACUCAGCUUUUCUGUUUUUGUAAUAUCUUCCUCUGCAUGUACAUGGCAGAUGCAGCAUGUACCCAGACUUGAGUUUCUCCGAGACCACCACAAGUCAGACAAUCAUUGCUGGUGUAGCUCCAGUUAGGAUGUACGUGUCAGUCAGUCACAGUACUGCAGAUGAACUAUAUAGUCUUAGAACUUGUAGGGGAUUAAGGACUAAUUACUAGCUACUGCUGCUGCAGGUUCUACGAGAGCUCUGAGAUGAACUUUGGUGCUGAGAAUGGCUGCAAAUGUGGAUCAAACUGCACCUGUGAUCCAUGCUCCUGCAAAUGAGAAAACGUCGCCGCAUGGCUCCAACCAAGCAGUUUUAUGGAACUAUAAUAAAUAAAAAGAAGAAGUCUGGUCACUCCAUGUUUGUCUAAUAUAGUAUUUGCUGUAAAUUAAAGUACAGUUAGCUAGCCAUGGCCUCCUCAAAUCCUUUCUACAGGAUCUCAUUUGAUGGCUAGUAAUCUGUAAGUGUCUUGUAUUUCCUGCUGCUUUGUUGGUUCCAUUCCAUGGAAUUAUGUAUCUUUAAUCGGAAGCUUGAUUCUGCUUUUAUGUUUGUUGACUUAUUUCUUCUCUUUUGGUUCAUUUCAUAGACUUUUCGUUUGCUUUUACACUGUUGAUUUUGUCAUUUCUAAUCCCAAUGAGAUAACAAUCUAAAAUUAAUGAAGCAAUUCCUAGCAUUUGACUAUCUUGGACAGUAAUCAUUAUUAUAUACAAUAAUUCUAUCCUCCCUUUAAGCAGAAAAACUUUAACCACCCAUCCAAGACCUUAGCCACUCUCUCCCCCUUCGCUUUCUUAUCCGUGGUUUUCCAAGCUCGUAUGACAAAACAUAGCUUGCUUGAUUAUGUUUCCUUGAAAACAUGCUUUUCUUAUUACUUGUUCUUCAAUUGAUCAAGAUAUAUUUUAAAAAUAUAUAAUGUUUGGGUUUUUCACUGUAUUUAUUGACACAAUUUAAAGUGAAUUGUUACGAUAAUAUUAUCUUUUCACAUCUGAGCCAGAAAAAAAAAUGUUUUAGUUCCGAGAAUAAUUUAAUCUUUUUCAGUUAUUCAUUAGUUGUUAAGAGAUUAUUUAGGAGUAUGUUAGUAUUUUCCAUUUUUUUGCAUAAUAAAAAUAUAAUUUUACUUUUAGAAUUAACAAUUUAUUAAACUGUUCAUUAAGGGUUAUUUAGUCUUUUGAAAGAUUUUGAAAUAGUUAAAAUACUUUUUAACCUUGAGGUCAAAGAAAUUAGAGUUUUUGACCAAGAGUUUUUCUUUUUUAUUUUUACAUUUUAGAAUACAGUAUAAAUAUGAUUAUACCCUUAAAAGGCAUGUGUCUAGGGACGUUUGUGUACUUUCAUGGUGGUUUUUUUGGUGAUUUCUAGUCUCUAGAGAAAAUGCACUUUUGUCCUCUCUUCUUUAGAUUUGUCAAUUUCAGUCCUUAUAUUUUUUAUUGUUUAUUUUCAUCCCUGGUACUAUUAUAAAAGUUUUAAGUAUUUUUGUUGAGUCCUUAAAUUAUAAUUUUUCAGGUUUUAUUUUUUCAAUUUAGUUCUUAUUCUUUCAAUUUCUUAUUUUUUUCCCUUGGCUUUUUUGAUAAAGCUUUGUUAAUUUUUAAUUUUAUCAUUUAAUCAAAGUUUAUGUUGUUUUAUUAUUUUUAAUUUAGCCAUCAUUCUUUUGAUUUAUUUAUUUUUUUGUUAAAAUUUAUUUUUUUUAAAAUUAACCCUCCAAUUUAUUUAUUUUUAUCUUUUCUUUAGAUUUAUCAAUUUCAGUCCUUAUAUUUUUUAUUGUUUAUUUUCAUCCUUGAUACUAUUAUAAAAGUUUUAAAUGUUAUUAAUUUAGUCAUUGAAUUACAAUUUAUCAUAUAUAAUUUUUCCAAUUUAAUCCUUAUUCUUUUAAUUUUUGAUUUUUUCCCUAGACUUUUUUUGUUAAAGUUUUGUUGGUUUUUAAUUUUAUCCUUCAAUCAAAGUUUAUGUUGUUUUAUUGUUUUCAAUUUAGCCCUCAUUCUUUUGAUUUAUUUAUUUUCUGUUAAAACUCAUUUGUUUUUAAAUUAACUCUCCAAUUUAAGUUUUUUUAAUGCCAUCUAAUUAAUUUUUAUUUCAAUUUUCUCUUUUAUUUUUUUAAUCACAAUUUUUAUGUGUUUUUUUAAUAUAUAAUUUCAUCAUUCAGCUUUUGAUUUGAUGGAGAAUGAACUUCAAAGUUUUCUUAUUAAGGAGCUUAUCUAUUGACAUGCGUAACGAGGUUGAUCAAAGUAUUUUUUUAAAUAAAAAAAAUUCAUUUUCUUACUUAUUUAACAAAAGCAUGACUUUUUUCAUUAACAACAUUGUUUUUUUUUAACAAAAAAAACUUAAAGUAAUAAAAAUAAAAUUUUUGUAAGAAUUUAAAUGAUUAUAUAUGAUUGAAAUAUAUUUCUUUAGCCGAAACACUCCUUUCAUUAAUCAUUUAUUUAUUUUUUUGGGUUUUGACAAAAAAUAUUUUUUUUAUCAAGUGUAGUUUUUCAUAUAUCAUGAUUGGUAAGAUAGUUUUAAGCUAAGAAAAAAAUAUCUCAUUUUUUAAAGCGACUAUAAAAAAAUAAAAAAUAAUUAAUUUAAAAAUAAAAUAAAAAUUAAGAAUAAAAAAUAUUUUAAUCUCAUUGGGUAUUCAUAUACAAUCAUUUUUUAAAAAAAUAUGCAUAUUAAUUUUAAUAUAAUUAUGUAAGAAAAUUGAAAACAUAACCAUAAAUUUUUUUAAUUUGGGUUAAAAAAUAUUGGUAUAAUUAAAUAAUUUUUGAAAUAUCAUUCUAAUUAAAAACUUGAUUGAUAAGCCAUCUAAACUUUAUGGGUAAAAAUAAUAUUAUCAAACCCCAGCUUAAUAAGAUAAAUCAACUUAGUCCUAUAUUUUGGGUUUUAAAAAACUUUAGUUGGGUUGUAGGUUGAUCCAAUCGACCCUAUAAUCACUCCCAUAACUUAACUCAAGACUUAAUUCAUGAAUAAUAUAUAAGGUAAUCUAAUAAGUUGAUCAAAAUAAAUAUAAAAAUAACAUGGUUUUAAAAGAUUUUAAAAACAUAAACAUAAAACGACAUCAUUUAAUUUUUUUUUAAUUAAAUCAGAUUUUUACGAAAAUUAAACUAUCCUUAAAUUUAAAUAAGCUCCUCCUCCUCCGCUUAAAACCCGUUUGCACUUUCUGCCUUCUUCGCGCAGUAGCACAAGCACUUUACCACCAGCGCCACAAAAGCCAUGGAAUUGGAAGCCCAACAUCUUUAUUACAAUUCGAAUAGAAACCCAAUGGCAAAAUUUUAGGUUCGCUCUUAUCUCCUCAACUGACAGCUUUCCUAACAAUUUCUUUCCUUUUCUGUCCAUUUUUCUUUGUUCUUGGAUAUCCUUUUAAUUUCUGUCGUUUUCUCUUUUCCCUUUUUAGUGUUUUCUCUUAUUAAUAAUCAGCCAUUGGAUGCUUGCAUUACCAUUACAAUUGCUUUGUGUGUGUUUUGCGUCUAUGCACAUAAGAUGUUUGAUGUUUUUUCUAGCAGUCAAAAAAUGUAGUGCAAAUUAUGUAUUUGUUCUUGGAAUUUAUUUUUUAAUAAUGAUCGUAUUGGGAUUCCCUGCUUCUGUAAUCUCAUUAUUCAUAAGAAGCGAAAACAGCUUGUUUCCCUCUGUGUUGCGCGCUUGCUUUUAUUUUGUGCGUUUUGACUAAUCUUAACUGAUUUGGUGGGAUUCUGGGAUAUGUGAAUUCGGGCUCUGACUGGGUGGUGGAAAUGAGCUCAUGUGGUGCUUUUACAGAGGAGAGAGUUUUUAUUGGGGUUGCCACCCAGCAAGGGCUUCUUUUAGUCAUUAUGGAAUUUUCUGUGUUAAGUUUAACAGCUUUGAAUGACGAAGGAUCCUUUAGGGAUUUAGGUAUAAGUGAGAGAUUUAAUAUGAUAGGAGCGAACCUUCAGGAUUGAUUAUGGCUUGUUACAAAUAUGUAACAUAUUGAUAUAGAAUCACCCUUUGUAUGUAUCUGUUUCAAUUUUAGCUAUCGGUGAGCUGGUGCACAAACAGAACUAAACACAAAUGAGAAACUUAUGCGUGUCAAUUUUGUAAAGAACUUGUUACCUAAAUAGAGAUCUUACCAAUUUUCCAGUUACUGUUUCAUUGAAGGAGGUUGAUCGCAUAACACCACAGAAGGGUCAAGGUCAAGCAGAAAACUUUGCAAUUCCUGUUUCAAGUAUGUUGAGUAAGCAACAACUGGAACAAAGGUUAAUGUUUCAGUUAUUUAUGUUCCCUACCAUUUGCUGCAGCAGCUGUUAUGGAGGCAAUGGUAACUGAGUUGAGUUUUAUUGUCUGCAUUAGAGGGAAUCACUUAGCGUUAUCUGGUAAGAAGAUUUUAUAUUAGCUGCUUCCACUUUCAAGUAGGAUAUAUAUCCUUGUCAAAAUUUUGAUGCUGGCUGACUUUUGGUUUUACUUUUAUGCUGCACCUGUUAACCUUUUCAGGCGCUAGUAUCCAAUUGGAGAAAAGGAAAAACCUUUAUACUUUUCCUCUAGUCCACUUGUCCUGAAAUACAGAAAAGCAUGCAGGCACUAGCUCUUUUGAGGCAUCGCCGGUUCUCACAAACAAUUAAUCAAACACUUUUUAUCCCCUCUUUAUCUGUCUAUCAAACACCUUAUACUUGCUUCAACUUUCUAAAUACCCACACAAUUGAUAAAUUUCCCAAGAAAAGCUUAGACCCAGAAGGACCGAAGUGCUUAUCUUCGAGAAUUGAGAAACUUCCGAGAGGAGAAUCAGUUGGAUAUGCCUUUCAAAGCUGGAUGGGCGAGGGUUUUCCCAUUCAUCGAGGUGAUGUUUUUCACACUAUUAAUCGCUUAAGGAAGCUCAGAUUAAACAAACGCGCACUUGAGGUGUGUUUAUUAGUGUUGUCUUUAUAGUUCUUUGAGAACAUAACUUAAAUAGCAAUGUUAGUUCUUGUCUAAAUGCUUUAACGAGUUACACCACAACAUUUUAUCAGGUGAUGGAAUGGGUAGUAAGGGAGAGGCCCUACAGGCUCAAGGAACUAGACUACUCUUAUUUGUUGGAAUUCACAACCAAACAUCAUGGGAUAUCACAUGGCGAAAAGCUCUUCUUGCAUGUCCCGUCUGAGUUUCAGAACGAGUUGCUGUAUAACAAUCUUGUAAUUUCAUGCUUGGAAAAAGGUGUCAUUAGGCUUUCACUUGAUUACAUGAAGAAAAUGAGGGAACAAGGUCAUCCCAUUUCAUAUUUGAUUUUCAACCGCCUUAUAAUCCUCCAUUCCUCACCUGGCAGUAGGAAAAUGAUCCCGAAAAUCCUUGCUCAAAUGAGGGCUGAUAAGGUGGUUCCCCAUGUUUCAACAUAUAAUAUCCUGAUGAAGAUUGAAGCAAAUGAACAUAAUGUUGAUGGGUUAGUGAAGGUAUUUAAUGAUAUGAAGAGAUUUAAAGUUGAGCCGAAUGAAGUAUCUUUCUGCAUAUUAGCUACCGCGCAUGCAGCGGCAAGGUUGUAUACUGUGGCUGAAGCAUAUGUUGAAGCUGUGGAGAAGUCAUGUAGUGGAGACAACUGGUCAACACUUGAUGUUUUGAUCAUAUUGUACGGACAUUUAGGAAAGGAGAAGGAACUAGAAAGAACUUGGGGCAUUGUACUAGAACUGCCUCAUGUUAGGUCUAAAAGUUACAUGCUUGCAAUUGAAGCAUAUGGUAAAAUUGGACAGCUUAGCCGAGCUGAAGAGCUUUGGUUAGAGAUGAAGUCAAUACAUGGGUUGAGAUCAACUGAGCAGUUCAAUUCCAUGUUAUCCGUGUAUUGUAAACAUGGGCUUAUUAAGAAAGCAACUGGGAAUUUUAGGGAAAUGGAGAUCAAUGGGUGCAAAGCAAAUUCCAUAACUUUUCGUCAUCUUGCAUUGGGUUGUUUAAAGGCUAACUUGGUGGAGGAAGCCUUAAAGACUCUAGAAAUGGGGAAAAACUUGACAACAAGCAAUAGGGUAAAGAAUUCAACCCCAUGGUUGGAGACUACUCUAUCAAUAAUUGAACUUUUUGCAGAAAAGGGUGAUGUAGUUAACGUUGAGAAGUUGUUUGAAGAACUUGCGAAAGCAAAGUACAUAAGGCAUACAUUUGUAUUCAAUAUUUUAAUAAAGGCUUACGUGAAAGCCAAGAUUUACAGUCCAAAUCUCUUGAGAAGGAUGAUUUUAGGGGGUGCUAGGCCAGAUGCUGAGACAUAUAGCCUGAUCAAACUUGCUGAGCAGUUUCGACCCUGAUUUUGAUAUGCUCAAAAAGAAUUGACAACAAGCAAUAGGGUAAAGAAUUCAACCCAGUGGUUGGAGACUACUCUUUUAAUAAUUGAAUUUUUUGCAGAGAAGGGUGAUGUAGUUAAUGCUGAGGAGUUUGAAGAACUCACAAAAACAAAGUACACAAGGGAUGCUUUUGUAUUGAAUAUCUUAAUAAAGGCUUAUGUGAAAGCCAACAAUCCAAAUCUCUUGAGAAGGAUAUUUUAGGGGGUGCUACGCCAGAUGCUGAGACAUAUAGCCUGAUGACAGUUUCGACCUGAUUCUGGUAUGCUCAAGUUGUUAUUGCUGUACUUCUACAUUUCAUUCAUUUUCCUUAACAAAAAUUAUAAUUGUUUAUUGUAUCAAUAUUUGUAUGUGGAAACAAAAGGUGAAGAAAUCGAGUGUGAUCUUGUAGGUAACAAGAAAUGGUGUUCCUUCUGUAUUUCUCGUCAAGUGUGUUCUAUUCUCAACAACUUGCUUUUAGAAAUUAAAUAUGUUUGAACUUGUAGGACCUCAUUUGCUCUCAUACUAUGCAUCUCUACAAGUGCCUUUCACCGAUACGUUCUUUAUGCUAAAUCCAAAAAAACAAAAUAUAUAGUAUAAGAAAAAAUACCCCAUGCGAUUACUCCAGUUAACAUUUGGUUUCAUUUUUCUUCUUUUCGUGAUUGUUAUGCCCAGUGGAAAUUCAGUUAUUGCAACUUUUAUUUUGAUUUAUUAUAAUUUGUAAGAAAAGAUAGCGUCUCUUAAAGGGCUCAAGAGCAAACAACCUUCGAGCUGAAUCACCCAUGAAAAAUGCUGUGAAAUGUUCCUUUCUCUCAGCCAUGGUUCUCUCUUUAUGAAUAAUUAACUUGGGUUUGACUUUGCUAUUGUAUUGAUUUUAGUUACCGUCAGAAGAUUUCAUAGACGACAGUAUGGCAUAAAGAAUAGUCCAGUGGUGGUGGAGACAUAAAACAAGAAGUCAGUAAUGCUAAGGGACGGUGGUGCAAGUGAUGACACCGAAUAUUUUUUUUGAAGGUCGGAUCAUUCAUAAAGUUGCAGCUAUAGCCAACUUACCAGGCUGCUGCUAUGAUGCUUCUACCAUGUUUUCUGCAAUUGGAGGCCGUCUGAUCGUUCGAUGGGGCUGUGAUAUGAUUGUGGGCUGCAAUUACUGCUGUUUCCUUUGUUUUUCAUCACCACAAGUGCUCUGAGCUGCUGCUAUUGCAAUUUUUAUUUGUUGCUGCCGAAAUUAUUAUUUAUCAAUGUGGUUGCUAUGUUCUCUUCUUUGACGGCUACCUGUGGUUUUCUGCUCUCAUUGAUAUUAUGGUUCGUCUAAUUUCUUCUGGAAUUCUUUCACCCAGUUUUGCUUCUCGUAAUAAAAAUUAUGUUUUGUUUCUUGUAUUAUCGAAACAAAAAAUAAUAUAAUAUUUGCUAAUUAGAUUUAUUGUCAGAAGUAAACAAGUUUAAUUGCCCCCGAGCGCUCCGUUCCGAGAAUUGUAUUUAUCUAAUUUUAAAAACUUUUAUUGGUGAAAAAAUUUGAUACAUGAAUCUGUCUAGGUACAGUUGUGCUGUUUGUUUAUGUAUUUUUUAAUAUAGAAAAAUAAUUUUUUUAUUCAUAGCAUGACAUUUUUAAUAAAAGCUUUUUAUGAUUUUAAAAGCAAGUUUCACUAAAAGAGAAAAAAAUAUGCAUUAUUAAAAAAAUAAAGGAAUAAUUAAUUUGAGAAAAUUAUACCAAAACUUCAAAAAAAAAAAACAAGAUAUUAUACUCAUUGAAUAUUUAUGAGAAACUUAAAAAAAUAAUAAUAUUAAAUUCAUGUAUAAUUAAUUAGAAAGUAAUUAAUAAUAUUAUCAUUAAGAACAUCUAAUCUCAUUUGAAAAGCAUGAUAUCAUUGUAUAACAAAUAUUAGUCACCUCUAAUAAUUGAAAAUUUAAGGUUGAGUUUUUUAACUUUUCAAAAUCUAAUUAUCAACUUUUUUUUCAUCUAAAAAAACAUAUUUAGAUGAUUAAAGAUCCAAACAAUUUUCAUUGAACUCUUCUAAUUCGUUGAACUCAAGAUUUUUUUUUAUGACCAGAAUAUGAUCAACUAAAAGUUUUCUAUCUCUUUUUUCCUUACGAAAGUUUUUUCUCUUUUCUCAUGUCUGUUAGGGACUGAAAUGUAGAAAAAAAACAAAAUUUUAUGAAUGAAAUAUAAAAUUUAAUAAAAACAAGAAUCAAAAUGUAGAAAGAAGCGCCUCUUAAAUUGUAAAAAAAAGAAAAAAAAACUUUUUUUUUUUAUUGUUAAUCUCAAUUCUUAUUUUUUCAAUUAUAUUUUUUUAACUAAAUCUUAUAAAAUCGAAUCAAUAUAACUUGUAAGGAUGAAAAAACAAAGAAAAAAAAUUUAAUGAUUAAAGCGCAAAAAAUAAAAAAAAUUAGGGAUAAAAAAAUGCUAUGAAUAGUAAGGGAACAUGUCAAUGAGUAUAAAUGUGACAAUACAAUAAAUUUAACAAUUGGACUAUGCAAAAUAAAAGACAAACAAUUAAAAUUAAAAGGAUAGACAAAACAUGAGAUGAAAAUAGAAUUGUAUUUGGUAAUAAUAUAUAAGACAUUAUGAUUAACUCUUUAUUUUGUUUAUUUAAUGAUGGAUAAAAUAUAAUAAAAUUCAAAAAAGUUUAUUUUACCCUUGACAUGUAUAAUUAUAUAUUUGUAACAAUAAUUAGAUAUUUUUAUUUUUAUUUUAGUUUAUAUUGAGUAUUAAAAUUUUAUUUUAACUAAUUUAAAAAAAACACAAAUAAAAUAAUAAGUUAUUUUGUUUAGUGCAUUUAUUUAUCAAUAUAAACUAGAAAUUAUAUAAUAAAUUAUAAUUUACUGUGGCUACUAAUUUUCUUCAGUGUUUAUUUGAUGGAAUGAAAAAGUUAGUUCCGAAGAAUAAUAACACACAUAAAAAAACAUUUCUUAGAAUAAAAUAUUGAAAAAUACAUAAUAGACAAAAAAACAAAAAUGCAUCAGUAAAGAAAAAAAAAAGAGCGAAGGUAUUACUUAGACACCAGGCUUUGAACUAAGCCUCAGCUUGAAAUUAAGCCUACAUGUGCUGGGCAGGAAUGAAGCCCGAGAUGGACUAGCCAUUUGGAAUACGUGUCAUCCAGUGGUAUCUUCUUCAACCUCUUGUCAGUUUCUAUAUUUGUCCACCAAAUUUCUCUGAAAAUGCUCCUUUCAACACUCACAAUGGUUUUUUUACUGUUUCUUUCUUGUUCAAUUUUUUCAUUCACAUGGGUUUUUUUUCUCCCCCUUGCUGAUAACUAAUUACUGAACAUUCCAUUUUUAUCUCCAAGCAUUCCAUAGAUCCUCAACAAAGGUGUUUGAAAGGACAACUUUUUAUUAAGAGAGAAACCAUGCCCCUGCUGAAACUAGAUCCUUGCAUGAACCAGCAACGAAGUUUUAUGCAUGGUGAGGAAAUUGAAAAACCAAAAUAACUAUAGCUGCGAUAGUUUUAUGGAGUAAAAAGUCCUGCAUAUUUACACGAUUCAAACCAUGGAUCUUGUCUUUGAAAACAUAGUUCGUAACACAGAUCCUCCUAAUUUGGCAAGACUCACUUGUUCGCUCUGGGUUGUCCUUGAAACUCAUUACAAAAGUACAAAUCAUUUAGCGCAGGAAACGCACUCAAGCGUUCCAGAGAGAAAGAAGGAUUACUGAAAAGAACCAGCAACCUCAUUUUUUAAAUUCAACCUUAUGUGUAGAAUUCUCUUAUGACUACACUUGGACCUUUAAUAUUAUAUUAAAAAAACCAUUAAAAACCUUUAAUAUUAUUUGAAAAGCAGUAUCAUCGUAUUGAAUGAUUAUUAAAAUAUCAUUUUAAUUGUUUUAUAUGAAAAUAAUUUUAUUUUAGCAUAUUAAAAAAUUUUAAAUAAAAAGAAGGGCCACCAGACACAUUCUAGGUGUGCUUGGACAUGAUAAGUCAGGCCCACUCACAUAACUUUUACAAAACAUAUAUUAGACAUGUUUGAGUUUGACAAGUCAAACCUGUGUACUUGGUUCCUUACAAAAAGCCCAAAUACACCUAGUUUUUAUUUUUUAAAGUAAGCAAACAACACAUCAUUUACUGCAACAAAUUUUGAUCAUCUUCGAUAAUAAAAAAAAUAUGAGUCCAAUUGAGAUCUCCAAAACUUAAUUUUCAACAUUUUUUCACCUAUAAAAUAAAAUAAAAAAUAUUUUUAGAGCCUUGAUAACCCCUUCUAAAAACUCAAGAUCAAAUUAAAUUUUUUAUACUUCGACUUAUUUUUUUCAAGUAUAAUUAGGUUGUGUUUGGUUAGUGUUCUGGGAUAGAAAAAAUAGAUAUAAAAAGAUAAAAACAUGUUUGGUUGGAGGGACAAAAAUAAAAAUAUAAAAUAAAUAUAUCUUUGUUAUCAUCAAGACGAACCUAUUGAUAACAAGAUUGAUAUUUUUUGUAGCUGGAAUAUGAUCAGUCAAAAGUUUUCUCUCCUUUCACUUUCCAACGGUUCUCUUUUCUUUAUCAACCGCAAGAAAAUGGGAUGUAAGAGAGAAGAAAUUCUAUGACUGAAACAUAAAAUUUUAAAUAAAUAAGGGACAAUGUAGAAAGACACUCCUCUCGAACAAAAAUUAAAAAAAAAACAACCUUUUUUUCCAUUUUUUUUUAUUCAUUUAGUUAUUUUUUAAUUGAAUCCUAUAGUAGUAUUUAUUAAUAGUAAUCUCUGAUAUAACGAAUAAAUAAAACCGAAUUAAUAUAACUUGUAAGGAUAAAAAAAAGAAAUAAAGUUUAAUUAUAAAAGCAUAAACAAAAAAAAACAAUCAGGGACUAAAAAAAGAAUAUGAACACUAGGGUGAAUAGCAUGAGUUUACAUGAACAAUGGUAAAAUAGUAAAUCCUUUAUCUAUUUUAACUUUUCAUAUGUAGUGUAUAACUAAGAAAAUAAUCACAAAAGGAUUAACUUAUAGUAUAAAAUUAGCACAUUAGCUCGUACUCUGCAGCGGAUCAAUAUCAUUGUUUUUUUUUUAAAAAAAUUUAAAAGUAUAGAGAAUGUUUUAAACUCCUUAAAUUUGACAAUCAUGCAAGACUCAAGCGAAUUGGGUUUGAUGGUCAAUCCAGACCCAAGAGACUUAGGUCUGACGGUCAUGCCAAACUCAAGAGCCGUGGGCCUGGGGCCAUGCCAGACCCGCACCUGGGUUUGGCACCAAACAUGAUUGCCAGACCCAAGGCCCUUGAGCCUGACAUUGGUGUCAGACCCAAGUAAACAACAUACAAACAAACAAAUGAUAAUUAUGCAUUUUAGUUGUCAGAAGAGAGAAAAGAAAGAAAAAACAUAUGUCGACCAUACCAGACCCAAGAGCCGUGGGUCUGGGGCCAUGCCAGACCCACACCCGAGUCUGGCAACCUUAGCAUACCCGCGCCUGGUUCUGGCAACCGUGCUAGACCCACGCCUAGGUCUGAAAACGUUAACAAACCCGCGUUUGGUUCUGGCAACCAUGCCAGACCCCUACGCCUUAGUCACUUGUGCCUGAUUCUGGCACCAAAUAUGGUUGUCAGACCCAAGGCUCUUGGGCUUGAUAUUGUUGACAGACCCAAGGACCUUGGGUCUGGCGUGAUACCUAAACUCAAGUAGUUUGGGUCUGACAUGUUUGUCAGACCCAAGCAAAUAAAGAACAAUUAUGCACUUUAGUUGUUAUGAGAGAAAAAGAGAGAGAGAAAAAAAAACACAAACAAUCGAAUAUUGGCUGUAAUUCAACCAUGAUAUCUCUACACGCGUCGCACCAUGUGAAAGAAGGCACAUCUGUACAUCUAUCUAAACGAUAUAUGACCAAAUUUAGACACUGGGAGGUGUCUCACACACCUCAUUAACAGAGUGGGCAACGCCCACUCGUUGGGGCGUGUGGAGCACAUAACAACAGUUUUUUGAAUAAAAAGUAGAAAAGAUAAUGUGAAAAAUACUAAAAUGCCCCUCAUAGUCCUUUUAAUUACACACCAUAUAUAAAUAAAUUUCACUAUCACAAUCUUGUGUCUAGAACUAUAGUAAAAACCCAACGUUAUUUAGCUUUCUUUAUAACUAGAUGUGUGGACUUGCAUUAUUUUGUGGGUUCACAUUAUUAUUAUUAUUAUUAUUAUUAUUAAAAAAUGAUGUUAGAAAAAAUAUUAUUUUAAAAAAAUAUUUAUUAUAAAAAAGUUAAAUCAACUCAAGCUAAUAUCAUCUAGAUUAUAUUAUCAAAAUAAAAAAACACAAAAAAAUUAAUCACAAAGCUGGUUAAAAAAAAACAGCAACCGAAAAGUAGUGUGCUAGGAAAAAAUAUUUACACUGUCUGAAAUAGUGUUUCUCCGAGACCAGUUAUUUUUUUUUUUAAAAAAAAAGAGAGAGAGGUGAAUAUGGAUUGGUGCGUGCCUUGGUUCGCUUCGGGCCUUGGAUGCAGAUUUCUUUUGGAUUGUUUGCUCCUGCCUAUUAUUUACUUUAGGUUGACUGGGCGUGAUCCUUUAUUGAAUCCUUUUUUUCUUUCACCAAACCGAAAAGUAGUGUACUAGGAUAUACUACGUUCAUUCAGAGUCAAAAUCUUCAAGCAAUGUCAGACACAGCAACUCCGGCUCAAUUUCCGGGCACGGACCAGCCUGUACCCAAUCAAGAUGAUGCCCUCCGUCAAAACGGCUCAGUUAUCGACCCCAACACCCGCACCACCGCCGUUGAAACCCUAACCAGACCGAACAACAAAGGCAAUCAACAACCGGUGACGCCUGUUCGAGCGAAGAGAAGAUCAUCAGAAACGACCAUUGAGACGAGUUGGUUGCCGCCGGGAUGGGUUGUUGAAGAUCGGAUUAGGACCUCUGGCGCGACAGCUGGCACCGUAGAUAAGGUUAGUUGCAGUUCGUUCUCAGUUAAUUAGCAUUUUUUUCAUCAAAUUAGAUUUUCUCGUUUCUGGGGAGAUAAAUGCAUUAAUGCUUCAUGCUUGCUUAAUCUUGGAUAUGAAAAAAAAAAAAAAACUGAUAGACUCAGCUGCUAUCUUACAAAUAUUUGUAAUCUCAUAAAACGAGACUUAUUACAGCAUUAUCACUAAUUUAUGAAAAUACUUUUAGGUUGUGAGAGCUAGAAUUUUGUUGUAAAACUUUAUUUUCAAACAUUGAAGCAGUUGGGGAUUUUUAUUUUCUCUACAUUCAUUCAUUGUAGCUUGCAUCUAAUAUGAGAACAUAAAUGCUUGCGUAUUGUAGUUUUAAGGGUUUCUGUAGCAUGGGGCGUUGGUCAAAACUUGAGUUGGGUCAAAUUCAAAUGGUGUUUCAGUGUUAGCCACUUUGAACAACUAUAUUCAUGUAUUUAAGGGAUAAUAAGUAGUAUUCAGCUCUGUUUUAGCUACCAACAUAUGUUUGACAUGGGUAAAGGAAAAUGGUGUAACAGCACAGCUCAUGACAUGCUUCAUGGACUUCUUCCGUAAUCAUCAAAUGCUGUUAGUAACUCCCUGUGUUCAGGCUCUGGGAUGUUGACCAACUCGCACAUGCACAUACUCACAGGAUUUUUCUCCUAUAAAAUAAAGUAAAAGAAUGUGCUAAUAUAGGUGACGAGGGUUCCCAACCAUUUAGAGAAGUAAAAAAACUACACAUAGAUGCGGCGUUCUUUCUCUACAGAUCAUGGGCUAAACAUGACUACUUAUUCAGUCAUGAUGUGCCAAAUCUUAACAACAAGCAAAGACGAGGAAAUAGAGAAACAGGAUAAUAGAGGUCUGGAGGACAAUUGAUCCACCGAUUCAUGUGGAUUGUUGGGGAAACAAAGACAUAAGAGAGGACAGAGGACGUUAGAAGAGGGAAUGAGAAAUAAACAUGGAAAUGUGUGAUGGAGACGAAUAUAGCGGUGAAAAUAGGAACGGAUAUACGUGUAGACUUACACUUUUAUAUGUUUUUCUAAUAAAUCAUUACAUUGAAUAUAGAAACAAAUAGUGUGCUUUAAAGGCAUUGGUGAUUUUAGAAAGUAAUUGGCAAUUAACUCCAAGGCAAAGGCAGAUUUUUAGAGGUUAAUAUAAGGCCAAAAAAGAAGGUGCUAUUUAUUUUUAUUUUAUUUCUCAUGGCCAGAAGGCACUAUUUGUUGUUGAAAAUUCAUUUAAACUAUCUUUAUGAAGUGGAUCUUUUAGCCUGUCAUUAUCUUUUUUAGUUUCCAUUCAUAGCAACUAUAGUUUUUUUUUAUCUACUAUAUCUGAUUACUUGUGACUAAAUUGAAGACAACAAACUAUAUCUUUACCUAAUUUUUUGUUUAUAGUUUUUUUUUUUUUAAGAUUGGAUCAAUGUUUGAAAUAGCUUUUUAUUUUUUAUUUUUCAAUUUUGGAUCUAUCUGCUUAAAUGCAGUGACAUCUGGAAAGUCAUUUAUGGCCUUAAUUGCAUCUUAUUUCUGAAAAGUUUGUUAAGUUCAAAAGCUCUUUGGUUUCUACCUUUGUAGAGGUUGAAGAUACCGCCUUACAAAUCAAAAGUCCUAAUCAAACAAAGAUAUUCUUAAAAUCAUGGAGAAGCAUAUCUUUGAGGUCCUGAAAAUCCAGUAUGUAACUAUAGAAAAAGCAAUGAAGAUGGUGUAGUGUUUUUCCCCUAUUCCAAUUGCUUCUGCCAUUAAACUUGUAGCAAUAUAACUUUAGAGUCAAAAUAAAAUGUCUCUAAUUAUUAUAAGCUUUGUUGUAAGAAUUCAUGCCACAGCCAUAGCCAUACUUUUGUGAUUUCUGCCGGCAACAUUAAAAGUUAUGUUUGGAAUAUUAUAUUUUAAAAAUCAUGUAAUCAAUGACACGUUGAUAUUGUGGAGCAAAUAAAGAAAUAAAGUAAAUAUUUUAAACAAGUCUUUUUUUUCCCCUUACCAUGCUUACUACCAAGUGGAUUGAAAAUUUGAAAUAGAUUAUCUAAAAACAACCUUGAAGCUUGAUAUAUUUCUCUUUCUAUUCUCAACAGCUUUAAUUAUCUAUCAUAAGAUCCUUUUCCUUUUCAUUUGAUUUUAGAGUUCUCUUUCAUAGUUUCCAUAGAGUUAUAUUUUUAUAUUUACUUUAUUCUCCAUGUCAAUAUUGACUGUAGAUGAAAACUAAUAGAAAAUAACUCUAAUGUUAUUAUACAUAUAUUAUAGGGUAAAUUUAACUAAAAAAUCUUAUAAAAUCCUUCCCAGGUAUUUAAGCAUUUUUAUUAUAUCCUGCAUGCAAAGCACAUAUUAAUGACUGUACAAAUAAAGUAAAAGAAUGUGCUAAUAUAGGUGACGACUGUUCCCAACUAUUUGUAGAAGUAAAAGAAACUGCCGAGUGCACUAUCUAUACAACAGAUGAACAAUAUACAAGAUUACCCAUGAAACUUUAGAACUCCUCUUCAUUAGCAAAGAAGUCUUAUUCUGUGUGCCAAUUGCCAAAAGUGCUGUGUUUAACCCAAACGCUCUCUGAAGAAUUGAGAAUAUAUCUUCUCGUUAGAUUGCUCUCUGAAUUCACUCAUUUUACGAAACCCAAAAUACUGCUAAAAGUAUACAUAUCCCACAUGUCCUUUUUUCUUGCACAAAAUUCACAAUCUCCAAGCAUUUAGCUCUUCAUCAACUAAAUGUAAGAUGUUGAUAAAUAAAGCUGCCUCCCUGCAUGCUAAAAAAAAAAAAACAGAGAAAGAAAGAAAAAAAACUCCAUUAACCUAGAUUUGUCCAAUUUUCUAAGAAUUGUUUAUGGUUAGAAUUGUUCCUCAAGCUGCCCUUAUGUGAAAAAAAGGAAUAACACACUUAGAGACAUGACAUGAUAGAAAAAAGCAAACUGUUUCUGUUCUCAUUUCUCAAAGUUCAGGAAUGGUUGGAAGAAGCUUCAGUAUGCAUGGCCAGAAUAAUUCAGAGCUAUGCCACUCUUGAGAUGAAGAAGCAUUUUGAGAGUGAUUAGAUUUUGCUAUUGUCUUUACAAUGUCAGAUCUUACUUUUAUUGCGUGGCUAGAUUCAGUGUUCUGAUUCCAUCACAUGACAUACAUAACUGUGGUUUUAAUCUGUGUUUUUUAUUUUCUAGAUUAGAUGUUAGAAGUCUUUUGGUAAAAGAGAGAAUUGUAUCAAAAUUACUAUUUUGACAAAUGGACUAUUCGUUUUGAUAGUAAAAUUUCAAGCAUCAACUAAAUGGUCUGUGUCUCGUGCAGUAUUACAUUGAUCCUGCCUCAGGUCGUAAGUUCAGGUCCAAGAAAGAUGUUCAAUAUUAUUUGGAAACUGGAACUUUAAAGAAGAAGGGAAAAUUGACUGAGAACUCUGAUGCCGAUACUAAUGUGAGUAAGAAAUCUCUGUUUAGACUAAAGGAUCGGCCCCUCUAUUUCUCUUAUGACAUUUUGUUUUUCAUCUGAACUAACUUGUAUAAUUUCGGAAGUCUGCAGGGAAUUUAAAGGUUGAUAAAAACAAGUCUGGCGCAAACACAAGUUUUGCUUUGAACUUUGAUUCUUUUAAUGUUCCUGAUAGGACCGAAUGGGUUCUUGCAAAUGCAAAAGAAGAUACCUGGAUUCCCUUCAUUGAUGGUAAAAAGGUACCUCUAUACGAUAAGGAACAGUGGGAUUUUGCAUUUGCAUCUCUGACGACAAGCAGUCAUGGUAAAAGAAAGCGAUGAGACUUGAAACUUGAAAGCGUGUGGAAUGUAGCCCGCAGUAUUAUCGAGGGACAGUUUUAAAGAGUCUGGGAGUCUUCAUUUUCCUUUUUUUGUGGCCAUUUAUUUUACAGCUUUCUGUUCAUGAAAUUUAUCCGGUCUAGCUCUAGCAACAGUCAUAAUUCAAAUAGUUAUUUUUUUUAUAUCAUAAUUCUAGCCACAGUAAAUCAAAUAGUUUUCUUUAUCAAAUCGAUCCGGUCUAGUUUAAUGUCACAGACUCACAGCAAUUCAAAUAGCUUCUUAUCAGAUCUUGUCUAGUUCUAUAUUGGCUCCUGUUUGUGUUCUCUCUUAAUUCAGUGUUUCUUUGAGGUGGCUCCUGUGGGCACUAGUCAGUGCACUCUGCGCUAAGGUGCUGCGAUUAGGAUUUAAUUUGUUGUGACGAAGAAGAUAUCGGCAUUGUGUAUAUUUUUGUUUAAUAUUAUAAAAGGUUAAAAUUGAGAAUCGAAAAGAUGAUGCUUUUAUUUUAUAAAAUAAAUUGAAAAAAAUAUAAAUUUAUAAAUUCUAGAAAGAGUUGUUAAUGCCAAUUAAAGUUAAAAUAUGUUAAUCUUCAUCGACAUUUUACCUUGCAGGUAAUUUUUUGUUUUUGUAUUUAUUUGUAUGUAAUAAAAAUAGAUAUUUAUAAGAAAGAUAACAACUUUGGGUUGUAUUUAGCGAUAAAAUCUAUAAUAUUUAAGCAAUAACUACUGAUAUUUAUUUUAUAAGCCAUUUUGAAAGAAAAAACAAAUAAAAAUAAAGAUCACAUUUGGAUCCACUAAAUGUAAUUAGAAUAUUUCUACUUGGGUUUAAAUUAUAUAUUUUUUAAUUCUUUUUAUCAUGUUUCUUUCUUCUCUUUGUUUUUAUCCCUUUUCUAUAAAUAAUUAGUAGUUACUUCUUGAAGAUAAUAUGAUAGAAAGGCUUGGCUUUUAUUGUGCACGUAAAGACCUAUCAAACUUUUAGGUGAAAGAAAAUAUAAUAAAAGGACUCGUUGAACUUUUAGUCAAAUUUAACCCAACCCCUGACCUUUUAUUUUCUUUUUAUUUUGGUCCCUUAAACUAUUAGGUCUAAGUAAUCGACCUCCUCUGUUAAAAACAUACGGUUGUUAAUUGUUAUAGCUGGUUCUGGUGGGGUUAAGAUUUCGUUUGGGAACGCGGCUGCGUUCUUAAAAAAUUUGAAAUUUUUUUUUUUUACUAAAAUUUAAUAUGGUUUGUAUAUUUUGGAUCGUUUUGAUGUGCUGAUAUCAAAAAUGAUUUUAAAAAAAUGAAAAAACAUCAUUGGCAUG